RNAcentral lists this unclassified non-coding RNA (300 nucleotides) under uncultured Diaporthe. Its description in RNAcentral is "sequence contains 5.8S rRNA gene, ITS2". The stretch from base 1 to 83 matches the Rfam family "5.8S ribosomal RNA", at positions 70 to 154 of the family's 154-position model. Lineage: Eukaryota; Fungi; Ascomycota; Sordariomycetes; Diaporthales; Diaporthaceae. The record is from RNAcentral.
AAUAAGGAACAGGUGAGUCAUCGAAUCUUUGAACGCACAUUGCGCCCAUUGGUAUUCCGAUGGGCAUGCCUGUUCGAGCGUCAUUUCAACCCUCAAGCAUUGCUUGGUGUUGGGGCACCGCCUGUAAAAGGGCGGGCCCUGAAAUCUAGUGGCGAGCUCGCCAGGACCCCGAGCGUAGUAAUUAUAUUUCGUUCUGGAAGGCCCUGGCGGUGCCCUGCCGUUAAACCCCCAACUUCUGAAAAUUUGACCUCGGAUCAGGUAGGAAUACCCGCUGAACUUAAGCAUAUCAAUAAGCGGAGG